GAUGAACGCUGGCGGCGUGCCUAAUACAUGCAAGUCGAGCGAACGGACGAGAAGCUUGCUUCUCUGAUGUUAGCGGCGGACGGGUGAGUAACACGUGGAUAACCUACCUAUAAGACUGGGAUAACUUCGGGAAACCGUAGCUAAUACCGGAUAAUAUUUUGAACCGCAUGGUUCAAAAGUGAAAGACGGUCCUGCUGUCACUUAUAGAUGGAUCCGCGCUGCAUUAGCUAGUUGGUAAGGUAACGGCUUACCAAGGCAACGAUGCAUAGCCGACCUGAGAGGGUGAUCGGCCACACUGGAACUGAGACACGGUCCAGACUCCUACGGGAGGCAGCAGUAGGGAAUCUUCCGUAAUGGGCGAAAGCCUGACGGAGCAACGCCGCGUGAGUGAUGAAGGUCUUCGGAUCGUAAAACUCUGUUAUUAGGGAAGAACAUAUGUGUAAGUAACUGUGCACAUCUUGACGGUACCUAAUCAGAAAGCCACGGCUAACUACGUG
Molecule: ribosomal RNA, 497 nt
Filed under: uncultured bacterium
Lineage: Bacteria
Description: partial 16S ribosomal RNA
Rfam family: Bacterial small subunit ribosomal RNA
Source: RNAcentral